RNAcentral lists this ribosomal RNA (997 nucleotides) under Salmonella enterica. Its description in RNAcentral is "partial 23S ribosomal RNA". It matches the Rfam family "Bacterial large subunit ribosomal RNA", at positions 1200 to 2179 of the family's 2925-position model. Lineage: Bacteria; Pseudomonadati; Pseudomonadota; Gammaproteobacteria; Enterobacterales; Enterobacteriaceae. The record is from RNAcentral.
CUGCGGCAGCGACACUAUGUGUUGUUGGGUAGGGGAGCGUUCUGUAAGCCUGUGAAGGUGUGUCGUGAGGCAUGCUGGAGGUAUCAGAAGUGCGAAUGCUGACAUAAGUAACGAUAAAGCGGGUGAAAAGCCCGCUCGCCGGAAGACCAAGGGUUCCUGUCCAACGUUAAUCGGGGCAGGGUGAGUCGACCCCUAAGGCGAGGCCGAAAGGCGUAGUCGAUGGGAAACGGGUUAAUAUUCCCGUACUUGGUGUUACUGCGAAGGGGGGACGGAGAAGGCUAUGUUGGCCGGGCGACGGUUGUCCCGGUUUAAGCGUGUAGGUGUGUGUUCCAGGUAAAUCCGGUUCACUUUAACACUGAGGCGUGACGACGAGGCACUACGGUGCUGAAGCAACAAAUGCCCUGCUUCCAGGAAAAGCCUCUAAGCAUCAGGUAACAUCAAAUCGUACCCCAAACCGACACAGGUGGUCAGGUAGAGAAUACCAAGGCGCUUGAGAGAACUCGGGUGAAGGAACUAGGCAAAAUGGUGCCGUAACUUCGGGAGAAGGCACGCUGACACGUAGGUGAAGUGAUUUACUCAUGGAGCUGAAGUCAGUCGAAGAUACCAGCUGGCUGCAACUGUUUAUUAAAAACACAGCACUGUGCAAACACGAAAGUGGACGUAUACGGUGUGACGCCUGCCCGGUGCCGGAAGGUUAAUUGAUGGGGUCAGCGCAAGCGAAGCUCCUGAUCGAAGCCCCGGUAAACGGCGGCCGUAACUAUAACGGUCCUAAGGUAGCGAAAUUCCUUGUCGGGUAAGUUCCGACCUGCACGAAUGGCGUAAUGAUGGCCAGGCUGUCUCCACCCGAGACUCAGUGAAAUUGAACUCGCUGUGAAGAUGCAGUGUACCCGCGGCAAGACGGAAAGACCCCGUGAACCUUUACUAUAGCUUGACACUGAACAUUGAGCCUUGAUGUGUAGGAUAGGUGGGAGGCUUUGAAGUGUGGACGCCAGUCUGC